Molecule: long non-coding RNA, 681 nt
Organism: Trichomycterus rosablanca
Lineage: Eukaryota; Metazoa; Chordata; Actinopteri; Siluriformes; Trichomycteridae
Exons: 2
Source: RefSeq, a predicted model, not a curated record
AGUCUGAUCCUAAAUCAUCCAGGAGAAUCAGGAGUACAACUGCUCAAAGAUCUACAGGAGGAUCCACAAUGUAACCUGAAGGAACUAUAUAUCUGAACAUAUUGAAUUAUGAGAAGAAGAAGAUGAAGAACAGUGGAGAAAUUACAGAUGUUUGUGAGGUCUCACUGUUAGAACGUCUUAACAUAACCACAAAGAUGUCUAGAGAACUGACUAAAGAAAGUCUCUUCUGUAUGAUUCUACCCAAGUUCUUUGAAAGGAACCUUGUUGAAUGGUCAGAACAGACCCACAAAGACAUCAAACAGUAGAGGUGCUGUGUUGAGGGGUACAUAAUCCCCUAUUUGGCAAGUUCAAAUCAGACCACAGUUUUGUACAGACUAUUACCCACAAUCCACUGUGAUCCUGUGAUGUUUCUACCAGUAACCAGUUGGUACCCCUGACACAUUACCAACAUGGACUGUAGUGUAAACACUCACCUGUAAUAUUCUAGCUAGGGCUGGACGAUAUGGCUAAAAUUUCUAUCACGAUAUAACUCCUAAUUUCGGUCGAUACGAUAUAAUUCCGAUAUCGAUAUGAAUAAUACAAAUGUCAGAAAAACUGCCACCAAAUUGGAUGGCUGUACCUGCAAACCUCUUUUCUGGUUUCUGGCAAGAAAUACAAGCAAAAUAAACCACUGAAUCAGUC